This 468-nucleotide ribosomal RNA is filed under the name uncultured bacterium. RNAcentral's name for it is "partial 16S ribosomal RNA". It matches the Rfam family "Bacterial small subunit ribosomal RNA", at positions 28 to 507 of the family's 1533-position model. The record is from RNAcentral.
GACGAACGCUGGCGGCGUGCUUAACACAUGCAAGUCGAACGGAAAGGCCCUGCUUUUGUGGGGUGCUCGAGUGGCGAACGGGUGAGUAACACGUGAGUAACCUGCCCUUGACUUUGGGAUAACUUCAGGAAACUGGGGCUAAUACCGGAUAGGAGCUCCUGCUGCAUGGUGGGGGUUGGAAAGUUUCGGCGGUUGGGGAUGGACUCGCGGCUUAUCAGCUUGUUGGUGGGGUAGUGGCUUACCAAGGCUUUGACGGGUAGCCGGCCUGAGAGGGUUACCGGCCACAUUGGGACUGAGAUACGGCCCAGACUCCUACGGGAGGCAGCAGUGGGGAAUAUUGCACAAUGGGCGGAAGCCUGAUGCAGCAACGCCGCGUGCGGGAUGACGGCCUUCGGGUUGUAAACCGCUUUCGCCUGUGACGAAGCGUGAUUGACGGUAAUGGGUAAAGAAGCACCGGCUAACUACGUG